Nicotiana tabacum (common tobacco) is the source of this 153-nucleotide non-coding RNA. The record is from RefSeq and is a predicted model, not a curated record. NCBI's taxonomy places the organism in Eukaryota, Viridiplantae, Streptophyta, Magnoliopsida, Solanales, Solanaceae.
UGAUGAGUCUUGACCGAUCCGAGAUUUUGAUAGUGGGCACCGACUGAGUUAUGGCAGCUCAUCACAUGCGCAGGCUUCAUGCGAUGCUGCGACAGAUGACUACAUUCAGGAUCCAGACACGAUUAUGCCUUCUACUGGACCUGACAGCACCAC